This 255-nucleotide ribosomal RNA is filed under the name uncultured bacterium. RNAcentral's name for it is "partial 16S ribosomal RNA". It matches the Rfam family "Bacterial small subunit ribosomal RNA", at positions 524 to 776 of the family's 1533-position model. The record is from RNAcentral.
UACGUAGGGUGCAAGCGUUAAUCGGAAUUACUGGGCGUAAAGCGUGCGCAGGCGGUUUUGUAAGUCAGAUGUGAAAUCCCCGGGCUUAACCUGGGAACUGCGUUUGAAACUACAAGGCUAGAGUGUGGCAGAGGGGGGGUGGAAUUCCACGUGUAGCAGUGAAAUGCGUAGAGAUGUGGAGGAACACCGAUGGCGAAGGCAGCCCCCCUGGGCUAACACUGACGCUGAUGCACGAAAGCGUGGGGAGCAAACAGG